This 460-nucleotide ribosomal RNA is filed under the name uncultured bacterium. RNAcentral describes it as "partial 16S ribosomal RNA". It matches the Rfam family "Bacterial small subunit ribosomal RNA", at positions 338 to 795 of the family's 1533-position model. The record is from RNAcentral.
CCUACGGGAGGCUGCAGUGAGGAAUAUUGGUCAAUGGCCGGAAGGCUGAACCAGCCAUGCCGCGUGAAGGUCAGUGCCCUAUGGGCGUUAAACUUCUUUUGUGCGGGAGCAAUAAUGGUCACGUGUGGCCAGACGAGAGUACCGUACGAAUAAGCAUCGGCUAACUCCGUGCCAGCAGCCGCGGUAAUACGGGGGAUGCAAGCGUUAUCCGGAUUUAUUGGGUUUAAAGGGUGCGUAGGCUGGGAGGUAAGUCAGCGGGGGAAUGCCCCCGCUCAAAGGGGUGAAGUGCCAUUGCUACUGCCUUGCUGGAAUGCGGUUGAGGUGGGAGGAAUGUGUGGUGUAGCGGUGAAAUGCAUAGAUAUCACACAGAACACCGAGUGCGAAGGCAGCUCACGAAUCCGCGAUUGACGCUGAUGCACGAAAGCGUGGGUAUCAAACAGGAUUAGAUACCCGAGUAGUC